UGGGGAAUAUUGGACAAUGGGGGCAACCCUGAUCCAGCAAUGCCGCGUGUGUGAAGAAGGUCUUCGGAUUGUAAAGCACUUUCGACGGGGACGAUGAUGACGGUACCCGUAGAAGAAGCCCCGGCUAACUUCGUGCCAGCAGCCGCGGUAAUACGAAGGGGGCUAGCGUUGCUCGGAAUGACUGAGCGUAAAGGGCGUGUAGGCGGUUUACACAGUCAGAUGUGAAAUCCCCGGGCUUAACCUGGGAGCUGCAUUUGAUACGUGUAGACUAGAGUGUGAGAGAGGGUUUGUGGAAUUCCCAGUGUAGAGGUGAAAUUCGUAGAUAUUGGGAAGAACACCGGUGGCGAAGGCGGCAACCUGGCUCAUGACUGACGCUGAGGCGCGAAAGCGUGGGGAGCAAACAGGAUUAGAUACCCUGGUAGUCCACGCUGUAAACGAUGUGUGCUAGAUGUUGGGUAACUUUGUUAUUCAGUGUCGCAGUUAACGCGUUAAGCACACCGCCUGGGGAGUACGGCCGCAAGGUUGAAAC
RNAcentral lists this ribosomal RNA (529 nucleotides) under uncultured bacterium. RNAcentral describes it as "partial 16S ribosomal RNA". It matches the Rfam family "Bacterial small subunit ribosomal RNA", at positions 355 to 900 of the family's 1533-position model. The record is from RNAcentral.